GGUGGAUGUAGCUCAGUCGGCAGAGCACCUGGUUGUGGUCCAGGGGGUCGCGGGUUCAAGUCCCGUCUUCCACCCCCA
RNAcentral lists this transfer RNA (78 nucleotides) under Actinomycetaceae bacterium. RNAcentral describes it as "tRNA-His". It matches the Rfam family "tRNA". From Rfam's summary of the family: Transfer RNA (tRNA) molecules are approximately 80 nucleotides in length. Their secondary structure includes four short double-helical elements and three loops (D, anti-codon, and T loops). The record is from RNAcentral. Lineage: Bacteria; Bacillati; Actinomycetota; Actinomycetes; Actinomycetales; Actinomycetaceae.